UGAGGAACAUGACCUUCGGCGGGGGAUAGCCGGCCCAACGGCCGGGUAAUACCGCGUACGACCUCUUGGGGACAUCCCCGGGUGGUGAAAGCAGCAAUGCGCCGAAAGAGUGCCUCGCGGCCUAUCAGCUAGUUGGUGGGGUAAUGGCUCACCAAGGCGACGGCGGGUAGCUGGUCUGAGAGGAUGGCCAGCCACAUUGGGACUGAGACACGGCCCAGACUCCUACGGGAGCAGCAGG
This 238-nucleotide ribosomal RNA is filed under the name uncultured bacterium. RNAcentral's name for it is "partial 16S ribosomal RNA". It matches the Rfam family "Bacterial small subunit ribosomal RNA", at positions 118 to 354 of the family's 1533-position model. The record is from RNAcentral.